This 281-nucleotide ribosomal RNA is filed under the name uncultured prokaryote. RNAcentral describes it as "partial 16S ribosomal RNA". It matches the Rfam family "Bacterial small subunit ribosomal RNA", at positions 524 to 803 of the family's 1533-position model. The record is from RNAcentral.
UACGUAGGGGGCUAGCGUUAUCCGGAAUUACUGGGCGUAAAGGGUGCGUAGGUGGUUUCUUAAGUCAGAGGUGAAAGGCUACGGCUCAACCGUAGUAAGCCUUUGAAACUGGGAAACUUGAGUACAGGAGAGGAGAGUGGAAUUCCUAGUGUAGCGGUGAAAUGCGUAGAUAUUAGGAGGAACACCAGUUGCGAAGGCGGCUCUCUGGACUGUAACUGACACUGAGGCACGAAAGCGUGGGGAGCAAACAGGAUUAGAUACCCUGGUAGUCCCUGAGCGGG